AGAAAAAGAAAAUUUUAAAAUUGUACCUUUUGUAUCAGGGGCACUUAAAAGUAAAAAAAGAAUUAAUCGAGUAAAACGGACCUUUUUAUUUAGUUAUAGUUGCAUUUAGAAGUAAAAAUUUUUAAGGGGUGAAAAGUGUUCGUCGUUUUUGGUAUCUAAUUGUUUUAAAUUUUAUGGGGUAAGCUCAUGUAAGAUUUAUGUAAAAAAAAAAAUUAAGAAAACUAGGCUUUAGAUUAGCCAAGUUAGUAUAUUGUUUUAAAUAAUUUUUAAAAAAAAUUUUUUGUAAAAUUAUAAAUUUCAUGCUAAUGUUUUAUAUUUAGCACAAAAAAUGAGUGUAUUGAAUAAAUAAUGAAAUUAAAAAAUAACUCGUGGUAACUGAGAAUGUUUAACAAAAACAUUUUUGUUUGCUUAAAAACAAUAAGGCCUGCCCAGUGAGAGUUUAACGGCUGCGGUAUUUUGACUGUGCUAAGGUAGCAUAAUCAUUUGUUUUUUAAUUGGAAACUGGAAUGAAAGGUUAAACUAAGUUAUGUAGUUUGUAAAUUAAUUAAUAAAUUAAAGUCAAGGUAAGAAUUCUUUGAUCUUCUAGGGGACGAUAAGACCCUAGAAGCUUUAUAAGUAGAAUAUUUUUUAGUGGUAAAUAUUAGCUUAUUUCACUGGGGCGGUGUAAGUAUUUAAACUAUUGUAAAUUUAAUAGAUCCUUAAUAUAAAGAGAAAAUGGAUAAGUUACUCUAGGGAUAACAGUGCAAUAUUUUUGAAGAGACCUUAUCGAUAAAGAUGUUUGCAACCUCGAUGUUGAAUUAAGAUUUCUACAUGAAGCAGAAAGCAUAGUAGAGGGUUUGUUCAACCUUUAAAU
Molecule: ribosomal RNA, 853 nt
Filed under: Gammarus kangdingensis
Lineage: Eukaryota; Metazoa; Arthropoda; Malacostraca; Amphipoda; Gammaridae
Description: partial 16S ribosomal RNA
Rfam family: Archaeal large subunit ribosomal RNA (bases 368-528)
Source: RNAcentral